AUUUCCUGAACUUGACCACGUACAGCUAGCACCUUACUAAAGUUUGCCACCAUCCCUUUCGAGGCCUGACAAGUUUUCCGACCAAACGCUAUCAGGUAAGUUCAUUUGGAAGGAAAAAAGCAAAUGCCAAGAACCUUGGAAUAAAAACGUAAGUCUUGUGGCCAUUAUUAAAAAUCAGUGCCUGAAAAGUACCUAUUAAAUGUGACGACUGGAACAACCAGGCUCAUGAAUAAUGAUCUGGGGGCCAUUUUCACAGCAGAGUUCUAAUGUUACAAUUUCAUAAUUCAGCUUCUGCUAACUACUUUGUAUUUUUUUAUUUUCUAUGCUUAAACUUAGUAGGCUUAACAAUUUCUAUGCUCCUUCUACCCUGCAAGUGUUUAUCCAUUAUACAUAAAUGACGAAUCAAUUCCUGAAUUUUGUUUAGUGCUUUCUAUUCUUUGGAUAAUGAAGGUCUUAUUAUAGGGUGGAGAGAGAACAUUUGGUUUCUUUUGUGUACUUCGCAAGCACACGUUAAAGCAAUGGCUUCAGUUUCAGGAACUGAUGGAUUUUUUGGGAAACAUCUGAAUGUCAGACUUCCAAAUUCUGAGAAAAUAUGUGAAUAACCAAAUAAAACAGCAUCGUAGUGUGAUAACCGAACCUUUCAGACUUAAGGUUCUGGAUUUUAGAGGCAGUGACAGAUACAAAAAUGGCAAGAAAUACCAGAAAAUGAUAAAGAAUUUGAUAAGGCCAUCUUUCAAAAAUAGGAAUAAGAUACUUACCGGAUGUUAGUGAAAAUAAAAUCUGUAAUAUGUGUAUUUCUCUCUUGCAAAUUAGGAUUAUUUUCACCAGGCUGAGAGCUCAUGGGUGAAGGUAUAGAGGCUUUCGGGGAUCAAUGCAAGUGAACAAGACAGGUUGGGGUGACACCCCAUCUGGGCUCUCUGUAAAACAAGAAGGUUCUACCUGACACCGUUUCCUAGUCUAUGGGAGCAGUGGCUUUGAGCUUCUUAAUGCUUUGAGAACCUUCCGAAGGCUAUGGAUCCUCUCCUCAGAAAAAUUCAUAAUUUGCACAUAAUUCCACAGAUUCCAGAUGCCCUGAAGAUGGCUAAUGGGUGAGGGUGCCUGGAACCCAAGUGAGUCAUAGACUUCACACAAUCCAGCAUAGAAUAAGUUACAUAUGUUGGUGAUGAUGAUAAUAAAUAGCUUUGGGGGGCGCCUGGGUGGCUCAGUCGGUUGGGCGUCCGACUUCAGCUCAGGUCAUGAUCUCGCUGUCCGUGAGUUUGAGCCCCGCUUCGGGCUCUGUGCUGACAGCUCAGAGCCUGGAGCCUGUUUCAGAUUCUGUGUCUCCCUCUCUCUCUGACCUUCCCCCAUUCAUGCUCUGUCUCUCUCUGUCUCAAAAAUGAAUAAACAGGGGCGCCUGGGUGGUGCAGUCGGUUAAGCGUCCGACUUCAGCCAGGUCACGAUCUCGCGGUCCGUGAGUUCGAGCCCCGCGUCAGGCUCUGGGCUGAUGGCUCGGAGCCUGGAGCCUGUUUCCGAUUCUGUGUCUCCCUCUCUCUCUGCCCCUCCCCCGUUCAUGCUAUGUCUGUCUCUGUCCCAAAAAUAAAUUAAAAAAAAAACAACAACAACAACAAAAAAAUGAAUAAACAUUAAAAUAAAUAAAUAAAUGAAUAAAUAAAUAAAUAAAUAGCUUUGGUUCACGAGGUGAAGAAUGAGGAAAAAACCCACUUAUUUUAUAAAUGGAGUUUCAUUUAGGAUAGUGACUAGUGACAAUUCCUCCCAGAUUCUGGCAACAGGCUGUCAGCCUAUACUGUUGAUACGUUAUUUUGAAUGCUCAUUCUUUUCUGUUUUUAAUCAAUAAUUUUUGGCAACUUGGGAAAGGAUCCAUGUAAGAACUACUGGCGAUUUAUUAAUGACCUUGUACCAAGCACUCUGAUAAGCAACUAGUCUGCAUUAGCUCAUCAUGUAAUACAAACAAAUCUUAGCAAACAAAUCCUUCCUACUAAUGAAGAACUUCAGAAUUCUAGUAACUCCCAAUGGUCUCACAGUCUAUUGUGGGACAGGAACAGCUUUGUUUCAUGAAGGGAAGAAUGUGUAGAACACAAAUCAUUGUUUUAAUAAAGCCAUCUUCGUUGCCCCAGGAAUUACUGAAAAUUUCUUCCAGAUUCUAACAACAGUCUGUUAAUGCUGCUUUUCACUGUUUGUUGUUUCGGACUGUCAUUAUCCUCUGGCUCUGUCAGUAUUUUAAUGUGAACUCUGGACACGGUAAAGUCAGAGCUGCUAGUCAGAGGCCAUCUGAGCCCUCGUAUACACCAUUCCGACCAGAAUUGUCAUUUCCAUGGCAAAACUCCAACACUGCCAUUUGGCUUUCCUAUUAGCUUUGGCUUUUCCCCAAAACCAGCUACCUGGGUCAUAAACUGAAACUUAUUCUAAGUUUUAUGCAUGCGUACCUUGUUUUCUUUUUCAUUCAUCCUGGUUUCAUGCUAAAUAUGAAAUUAGCUAGAAAACUGCCACUUCCAAAUGUUCAUUGCAAGGCUGUGAAGAAAAGAACACCGUUUUUGUAAAGACUAUCAUGCCCACGUUUAUUUGGUAAAUAUUUGCCAUUAAUGGCAGCAGGUAAUGGAAACUGCUCAUCCUGUGAUCAUCUGCUUUCUAUUUUUUUAGUCUUCUAGCUUCUGUCAUUUCCUUCCACCACUCAAAAGCUUUCCUUAUGCAUAUUCCUUUUUCUGGCCUCAUAUUUUCAUGCCCUACACAUUCCCGUUAAGUGACUUCAUCCAGUCUCUCGCAGUCCUCCACUCCCAGCCCAGACCUCUUCCCAACCUCUUGACUUUAAUCAUUUACAACUUGGAUCGGCCAUCUGGUUUUCCAUGGGCAUCUCAAACUCAACAUGUCCAAAAUAAAGUUAUCACCUUCAACAAUCCUUCUACUUCCCGAAUCAUCCAAUUCCCUCCCGCCAUUCACCCAUAAAGAAUUAACCUCUGAUGUUGCAUGCUACCCCAUACUAUUCACCUUCAUUAAUUUAUCCACGUGAAACUCAGAAUCCCCUACGUUCAUCGAUCCACGUGGUAUUAUCUCAUUAAAUGCCAUUUUCUGCAUAUGUAAGUAGGAAGAAUAACAUCCACUUAUCCCAGCGGGGUGGGGGGAGUUGCUACUGUUUUAAGGCUCUUUCAAAUCUACUUUUAUGUGGUUAAAAUGAUGGAAUAUCUUUGAAUGAAUUUAAGUAUAAAACUAUCUCUAUAUGUUUUUUACUUUUGGCUUAGAAAAUGUUAAUAUUUUCAUUCAAGCCAUCUGGGUCUUGGAAAUACGUGCUUUUGAUGACUAUAUGUGAAAACUAUUUUUUGCAUCUUUAAAAAUUAUUGAAGGAAUGCUACUUACCAAAUUUGCUUUCCAUUUUUCUGACCACAAAUGACAAUUAACUUGCAGUUCAAAAGACAAACUUGAAAUAUAUUUAAGCCGUUCCAAGUGAACACCACAGAUAUCAAAUGAUCAAAUGAAGAUAGGGAUAGCUGUAGAUGACUCAGAUGUUUCCUUGACUUACCACUGUCUUUUGUCUGCAUGUAAUUUUCUUUCAUAUUAAAAAAAAAAAAGUCCUUUGGUACCAUCUACUCCUGUAUUACUUUGCCACGCUUAAAACAUUUUAUUCCCGGACACUGCAGUUUUGAAAUUACUCCCUGAAAGUCUCUUGAAGAAAAUAAAUUGAAUUUCCAUUCCCCCAGCUUGUUUCUUAACAAACAGCAGACGGAGAAAGUUUGUGACUCAAGAAACACAGAACUACAUGAAUAUUUUGUUAUAAUCAGACAUUUCCCUUCUGAUUCUCCCUCUGACCCUAAGGCGACACGGUGCCCGAGGAAACAAUAUUUUAUGUGCUAUGUACACAAUCUGUGCAACAGUUUUCCUUUAAAAUAUGCAGAUCUACUUUUAUAAUCUGAACCAUAAAAUGGGGCGAAUUUUCAAGUAGCCUCAUCCAUUUUAUGGAUAAACAUUCAACAAAUGACUAGACUGCCAAAAUAAAUUCUCCGAGGGAAGUUGAUAGACUGAAGCAAUAAGACCGGUAAAAGAAAUCCAACAAAGUAAACAGAGUCUUCCUCUAUGCAACACAUACACUCAGAUGUAUGUAAAACUAUGUAAAACAUGCACUCAGAUGAAAAUCAGACUUUUCCAAUUUUUGACAGUGGUCAGAGAGGAUGAAUCAGCUGACAUCUUCAGUGUGUGCAACUCCAAGUGGGUGAUACUGGUUUAGAAGUAUAAAUAAGGGGCGCCUGGGUGGCUCAGUCGGUUAAGCGUCCGACUUCAGCUCAGAUCACGAUCUCGCGGUCCGUGGGUUCGAGCCCCGCUUCGGGCUCUGGGCUGAUGGCUCAGAGCCUGGAGCCUGCUUCCGAUUCUGUGUCUCCCUCUCUCUCUGCCCCUCCCCCAUUCACACUCUGUCUCUCUCUGUCUCAAAAAUAAAUAAAGGUUAAAAAAAAAUAAAAAAAAAAGAAGUAUAAAUAAGUGGUAUUAAGAUAGUGAUAUUGGGGCGCCUGGGUGGCUCAGUCGGUUGAACUUCUGACUUCGGCUCAGGUCAUGAUCUCGCGGCCCGUGAGUUCGAGCCCCGUGUCAGGCUCUGUGCUGAUAGCUCAGAGCCUGGAGCCUGUUUCAGAUUCUGUGUCUCCCCCUCUCUCUGCCCCUCCCCUGUUCAUGCUCUGUCUCUCUCUGUCUCAAAAAUAAAUAAACGUUAAAAAAAAUUAAAAAAAAAAAGAUAGCGAUAUUGAAAUGGUCAGAGAUGGAAUAACAAUAGGCCAAGUAUAGGUUCAUCCUUUUAGUCAGUAUUCAAUAUACAUUGAACGCCUGUUAUGUCUAGAGUCUGUAUCAGUUUCUGGAAAGAAUCAACCAUUUUCUUACAAUUCAUAACAAAAUUUACUCAUCAGCUUGUAGAUGCAACUGGACCUCCUUCCUCCAGUAUAUUCUAUUUGAAUCCAUUUUCCACAUACAAGCCAGAAUUAACUUUGUAAAGUUAAAAUUUAGUUACAUGGUUAAGCUCAAACUCCCCAAUAUGGUUUACAAAGACCUUUAUGAUUUGACUCUUGCUUACCUCUUCUGCCUUGCUGUUCCACCUAGCUCCCUGAUCACAAUGAAUUACUAACCAUUCACAGAGUAAGCCAGGCCUUUGCAUUCUGUUUCUCCUGGCCAAAUGCUUUUCCUCCUCUCCUUGUCUCACCCUUUUCCUCUGACCUUCAGUUUCUAACCUAAACAUCUCCUUGGCCAAAACUUCUCCAAGGACUAAAACAUGGUUAGGUGAGCCUCUUAGGCAGCAAAUGUUCUACUCCCGAGCUAUACCCACAGGCGAACCUUUUCUUUUUUUUUAUGUUUAUUUUAUUUUUGAGAGACAAGAGGGAGAGAGAGAGAGAGACAGUGCGAGUGGAGAAGAGGCACAGAGAGAGGGAGACACAGAAUCCAAAGCAGGCUCCAGGCUCUGAGCUGCCAGCACAGAGUCCAACGCAGGCACAAACCCAGGAACCAGGAGAUCAUGAUCUGAGCUAAAGUCCGAUGCUUAACCAACUGAGCCACACAGACGCCCCCUGCAGCCACACAGACGCCCCCUGCCCUCUUAUGCACCACAUAACACUCCAGGCCUUAUACCUUGUAGCCCCUAACACAGCAAGUGAUUUACUUGCCUGCCUCCUACUAGACUAUAUAUCCCUCAAGGACAGGAAAUAUCCCCUCAUUUGCUCUGGAAAUCUCCUGAUGUGAAAUAGAGCCUUGGCACAUCUUAGUGAUGAUUUGCUAAGUAAGUGGAAAAUUAAACCGUGUAUUCUUCCCCUUGAUUUUGGUAAGACCAUUUGACGGUGGCAGCCGUGGGAGGUAAGGGAAAUUAUCCCCAGCCUCACUACUUGACUACAUGAAUUGAGAUAUCCGAUGGUAAAUGCACACACUUGAACAUAUUCCCUUUUCCCCUCCCUCACACAUUUUAGUUCUAAUUUAUCAUUAAAAUGUUUCAUCCUGAAAUCAAUAAAUGCCCCAAUCUUUCCCACUGAGAAUAUUCCAUGACUUCUUCUUGCUCUAUGUUUUAUGAUGGGUCAAAAUACAAGGCAUCUCCAAAAUCAACUUAAAGCUUUUUCUUUUCUUUUGAAAGCAGGGUGGAAACUAAAAUGAACUAGUCUAGAAAAAUAAAAAGAACUCUGUCCAAAUAAAUUGUUGUGGUCUGCACAGUGUAACACAUAAAAAGUACCGAACUUCUUAAAAUGUUUUAUGUCAUUGGUAUUUUUCUUUAAAUAUUUAUUGAUAUGGAUAUGGCACUUCAGUGUUACAGCAUAAUUUUAAGCUAUAUCUAUAGAUUCCAAGAUCAAAUCUGGAAAGGAAAUAAACCUCCAUCUAUGUAUAUUUGACUGGGAGGGAUUAGAUCAAAACACAACAGUUAUCUAUGGUUGAAUUUUAUUUUCAUUUUUCACUCUUCUAUAUUUUCCCACACCUUCACAAUGAGCAAGUCAAAAAGAAAACCAAUAAACAUGCUUACACACAGGAAUGAACAGAAAAGAUAGUGACAUCAUUCAAACAGAAAUUAGUAAGUAUGGGUGGUCUGUAAGUUUCUCGCUACCUUUAAAAUUCUAUAAUUUUAUGACUUCUCAAUGUACUAUGCACACAUAUGUAGAUUUGUCUACACUAGACACAAUAGGGAUCCAGAUCCCUACAGAAAUGCGUGGCAAAUGUUCUUUCACAAUAGAAUUAAUGGAAAAGUUUACAUAUGACUUUGGUCAUAAUAAACAGUGAAUGCCUUGCACAUAGUAGGCACUCCUUAGGUGUUAAAUGAAGAAAUCCAGCAAUUGGUCAACGAGUGGUAAAUGACCUUGGUGUUAAAAUUCUGUCUCUGCUGCCCUCCAGUGGCUCACGUGCUUAACUCUGAAAGACUUCAAAAGAGAAAAUCAAGUGUCUUCCAUUCCCAGAUCCUCAUUUGAAGGGACUAUGACUGUUCAGAUUUUGGGGGCUUGGUAUUCAUUUUGGACAAAGUUUUAUAUACGUCCUCUGUGAUAUUACCUUGGUAGGUCAAGAUCAAAUGCAUUAUCUGUCUCCUCCCACCUGAAGAAGGUCAAACUGAAGCAAUAGUUACAGACGGGGUCAAUAAACACGAAUAUUUGUACAUUCACACUUCAUAGAGAUUUUUCACUUGUGUCACCACAUUAAACUUCUAGUAAGAAUCUGUGCUGAUAAUAAUGAAAAUAAUUGCAACUCUUUUAUUAGAAAGUUCUGGCGGCGCCUGGGUGACUCAGUCGGUUGCGCGUCCAACUUCGGCUCAGGUCGUGAUCUCUUGGUUGGUGGGUUUGUGCCCCACAUCGGACUCUGUGCUGACAGCUAAGGGCCUGGAGCCUGCUUUGGAUUCUGUGUCUCCCUCUCUCUCUGCCCCUCCUCCGCUCACGCUCACGCUCUGUCUCUCUUGGUCUCUCAAAAAAUACAUAAACAUUAAAAAAAUAGAAAAGAAAAAGAAAUCGUUCUGGCCCCUUGUUCAGAUACAAAGGCAUGAUAGUGUUGUCAAGUGCCAUUAGGCAUGAAGGUUCGCAUCCAUAGUACACCUUAAGGAGCGGUCCAAAACUCUUAAACUUACGUAUCAUCUUGGUGUAGUACUGUAGAAAAAUGUUAACUUAGCAGCGAACACCAUCAGCAAAUAUCAGCGCCACAAUCGGUGAACAUUAGAACCGUAUUUUUAUAACGCCUUGGUCUGUGGGGGUUAUAUCCUGAAUUCAGGUAGUUGGUCAGUAGAAUGAUCGCAGGAAGAAACCUUGUUUCUAGAGAAACCUUGUUUCUGAAACUUUGUUUCAGUCUCAGUGCUUUGACAUUAGCUAUGAUCUACUAGCUAUCCUGCUUCCGGCCUCAUCCUGUGGUUUUAGACAACAAUCUCCAACUGAGUUAUCUUCUACAUGACUUCCUAAUGUGUUUAUCUUCCCCUGUUAUUGUAGUUCUUCUGGAAUAUCCUUUUAGUGUUAGCCAAGGAGUCUCUCAAUUCUUUCCUCGUCUGCCACCAUACCUCCAGGUGAGGCGAUUAUUUCUAUCCUUUUGCUCAUCUGCACUCUAUCUUUUUGAAUUAGAGUCUUUUUAUGUACUUUUAUUUAUUUUUAUUGUAUUUUUUUAGUCUUUACUUUCCAUCUCUUACUUCUGUCUCUUACUUGAACAAUUUCCUCCUUUUCAGUACUAUGGAAGUAUGUGGUAUUAUCCUUGAUAAUAAUGAGUAUUUUUUCUUAUUCUCAGAUUACUAGAGUCGUGUGUAUUUCACUGAUAUUUUCAUAAGCUCUUGGGUUUAUUCAGCAAAUGUAUCAUUUUUGUGCUUUUUACAUCACAGUAAUUUAGCAACUUGUUUUCAAUUAUAAUACUGGCAAUAUUAUAAAAGAACAUUUAUUUUUAGAACUAAUCCUAAGAGAAUAAUUUUUUCACAAAAGGUUUUUUAUUUAUAAAACUGAAGCAUUUAAAAAAAUAAACUGAAAUAAGGGCACCUGGCUGGCUCAGUCAGUUAAGCAUCCGACUCUUGAUCAUGGCUCAGGUCAUGAUCUCAUGGCGUCAAGAGUUCAAGCCCCACAUCGGGCUCUGUGCUGACAGCAUGGAGUCUGCGUGGGAUUCUCUCUCUCUCCUCUCUCUCUGUCCCUUCCCAACUCAUUCUGUGCCCCUCCAUCUCUCUCUCUCAAAAUAAAUAAACAUUAAAAAAAUAAUAAACUAAAAUAAAUGUCCAAGAGAUGUAUGAUAUAAACUCAAUAGUAUCAUAGAAUGCAGUAAUAUUCAGGAAUUCAAAGUUUUAAUUUAAUUAUUCAUUUGCUUGUUACAAGUCCCUAAAAUACCAAGUGAAAGUUAAAAUUAUAAGAGAUUUUGGGAGUUAAAAAAUAAAAACAAAGUACUAAGUACAAACAGUAUUUUCCCCCAUUUUUAGAAAUGAAGGUGCGUGCAUAUAUUGUGUGUAUGUUUAUGUGUUAUGUAUAUGUACACUUAAUGUCUGAAAGAACAUACUCUGAGCUAAUAACAAUGAUUUUAUCUGCGAUGAGGUUGUCAGAUAACGACAAUCUGACUCUGUAACCAAAAACUACCCCAACUCUCAUUAUUCUUAUAACAAUGAGGACUUUAAACUGUCCAAUUGUGGGGGUGCCUGGGUGGCUCAGUCGGUUAAGCAUCCGACUUCAGCUCAGGUCAUCAUCUCGCGGUGUGAGUUCCAGCCCCGCAUCGGGCUCCAUGCUGAUGAGACUGGAGUCUGCUUUCGAUUCUGUGUCUCCCCUUCUCUCUGCCCCUCCCAUGCUCAUGCUCUGUCUCUGUCUCUCCAUAAUAAAUACAUGUUAAAAAAUAAAUAAACUAUCCAAUUGUGCCUUAAACUUCAGCACAUAUUUUCAUACAAUUUCUUAAACAUUUCCAAUCAAUUUAUUGUAAUGCAAUGAAAUCUAACACAUAACACCAUCUCUAGUCUAUCAGUCCCCAUCAAUUAUUAGCAGAAUAUAUUUGAGACUAGCACAUUAAGAUAAUUUCGUUGGUCAAUGGGCAUUAUUAAGCAAGAAGGGGAAUUCAGAAGCAGAAAUGCACCGCGUUUGAGAAGCAAAGGCAUCAAGCUUGGUUUGUAAGUACAAAAGAUGAAUUAAGAAGAUGUGUCCUUAAGACCUUACGGAGACACAUACAAAAAGGAAAAAUAAACAACUGAACCGUGGUAGCCUUUACAUUUUUGUGGCAAUGAAAGUGAGCCAAGAACACAACGAGAAUUUGUUUUAAACCACCAAGUUUGUGGGACUCUGUUAUGGCAGCCAUAGGACACAAAUACAAUUUCCUUAGGAAAUUAUCCAUUUUAUCAAGGUUUUAAAUUUUUACAUGUAUAGACAUCUAUAAAGCAGUCCCCUGUGAUUUUUAAUUGCUUUCUGCUUCAGUUUGUUUCCACUCAAUUUCUCAUUUAGUAUUUUUUAACUUUCUUUUUCCUUAAGUUAGUGUUUGUCUAGUGUUUUAUUUUGCCACAAAAUGGGGAUUUUAUUUAUUAAUUAGAUCUACUGUUUUCUAUUCUGAACCUCAACAAUUCCUGGUUUUAUCUCUACUACUUCCUUGCUUAUUUCUUUCUUUGGUUUGCUUUAUUUAUCUUUUUUUUUCUUUCUUUUCUCCCCCUUGCAUUUUGAGCUGGAAAUCUAUUUAUUUUCAUUCUUUAAGUUUUGCUCAUAAAAGUGUUUAAGGCUAUGAAGCUUCCUCUGAUCGGUACUUUAAAUAUACCAAAUAGAGUCUGAUAUGUAGUGUUUUCAUGUCAUUAUUUUUCAAAAUUUCUGUAAUUUCAGUUUGUAUUCCCCCAUCACCUAUUAAGCAAGAAUUGUUGAAUGGAAGGCUUUUAAUUUUCCAGCUGGACUUCUGUUGUCAAUAAUUUUUAUUUGUUGGCUCUGUGAUAAGAUAAUGUAUAACAUUCUACUUCAUGGUAAUGAUUGAUAUUUUCCUCAUGACAUAUGAUCAGUUUUUGUGACUGCCAUGUGCACUUGAGUAGGUACACUCUAUUAACAGAGUUUGAAGUUUAUAUAUCCUUGAGCUUUUAUUAUCAACUUGGUAUUUGUGGUCUCAAGUUUAUCAUGGUAUUUUAUAAUUACACUGUAAAUUUGCUGAGUUUUUUUCUAUACAUUGCAGCUUUUCUUUGUUUUGUUUUUUACCUUUUAAAAUCUCUUUCUCUAUUUAGAAAGUUCUAGUGUUACCCUUAUCCUUACGUACUUUUUAAAACUCUUAGUUCUCUCUUCCUUCUUUAACUUUUAACUCAGCAUUUUAUUAGUUAUUUCUGAUAUCCAUUUACUCUCCUCCAUUCUCUAUAUUUAAAAAAAAAAAUGAAAUUAGCGGGGCGCCUGGCUACCUCAGUUGGUGAAGCAUCCGACUUCAGCUUGGGUCUUGAUCUCAUGGUUCGUGGGUUCAAGCCCCACGUCGGGCACUGUGCUGACAGCUCAGAGCCUAGAGCCUGCUUCAGAUUCUGUGUUCCCCCCUCCCGUCCCUCCCCCGCUUGUGCUCUCUCUCUCUCUCUCUCUCAAAAAUAAACAUUAAAAAAGUUUUAUAAAAGAAUAAAAUUAUUCUACCUUCCCCUUUUGCUGUCCCUUUCCCAUAGUUUAGUUGCGUUGUUUAUAUUUGUCAAAGAAUAACUUACACAGCAUACAACGCAUUCUUCUACCAUGCCUGUCUCCAUUUUUGUUUCGAUCUUACUUAGAUCUACAACUGAAUAUAUUCAAUGUAUGCCGUCUUUUUUUUUUUUUUUGCUGAAGCUUCCUCAGUCAUAUCUUCAGUUAUGAGAAGCUCCUGGUCUAGUAGAUUUCUCAGGAAGGGCCGUUGGGUACAGAAUGAGCUGCUCACUAGCAUAUUAGCAUCAAUAUCUGAAAGGCAACUUGCCUUUCUACAAUUCUUGGUUCACACCUCCUUUCCUUAAGCUGGUUGAAAACGCUGUCAAUUGAUGCCUCGCUUUACUUAUGCUUUUCUGAGAAAUUUGAUGUUGGUCUCAUUAUCUUGUCCUUGUAACUUUUUUUUAUUUUUUUUAACCUGGUGGCCUUGAGAGGCUUGUUUCUAAUUUAAAAAAAUUUUUUUAAUGUUUACUUAUUUUUGAGAGAGAGAGACAGAGCACGAGCAGGGGAGGGGCAGAAAGAGACAGGGAGACACAGAAUCCGAAGUAGGCUCCAGGCUCUUAGCUGCCAGCACAGAGGCUGAUGUGCAACUUGAACCCACAAACCAGGAGAUCCUGACCUGAUCCGAAGUUGGAUGCUUAACCGACCGAGCCACCCAGGCAUCCCUCUUUUUCCUAAUUUUUAAAGUCUAAUAGUUUCAGACUAUACCUUUUUUAAUAGGUAGAAUAGGGUAUAUCACAGCAUUUAUCAUUGUGGUUCAAUUUUGCCUGGUGGGUCAAUUUUUCCUCCUUCUGAAACUGCAGUUAUACGUAAGUUAGUUCUUCUUUGCUUGAAUACCAUCUCAGUCACUUAUCUUUGGCCUUUUAAAAACCUCUUCUUUAUUUUUCAUUCACAAGGUUGUUUUCUUACUAUUUUUCAUUACACUUUAUUAAGUGUUCACUCACAUCUUUUCUUCCUUGGAUUCUCCAUAAUUUAGUCUUUAUUUUUUAUAUGAUUCCCCUCCCCCUCCAAUUCAAUCAAUUCCCAUUUCAUUUCCUUCUAUUCUUGACUCUUGGAUUUUUGAUGUAACCUGUUUUUUGUUUUAAUUCCAAAAGACUGGUUUAAGAAUAUUUAAUUCAGCUUGGAGCACUGUGUUAUAGUUUCCUCCUACUUUGCUCUUCUUCUGUUUGAGGAAAAGUUCAUCAGAUAAACUCGAUUUGCAUUUUCGUUUUCUCUUAACAGUAAUUUGUACAAAGACUAUGUCCUUGCUUGGGACUCUUUUGUUUUUAACGUUUUAUUUUCAAGUAAUCUGUACACACAAUGCAGGGCUCGAAUUUAUAAUACCAAGAUCAAGAGUCUCAUGCUCUACCAACUAAACUGGCCAGGUGCCCCUUAUGAGAUUCUUACUCAAAAACACCUUCUUCUGUCAGUAUAACAAAGUGUAACUUCUUUUUAGAUGGUGCUUGAUUUUCUGUAGAGAGUAAAGAAAAUGUGUGCUCUUUGACAUUUUUAUUUCCUUUUGUCUUUCAGGAUCUUAAAUUUCUUUUGCUUCUUUUCCUCAUUUACGCUGAAUUUUUCAAGACGUGUCUCUCUCACCUUUUUAACCCUUAUCUUUCACCAAAAUUUGUUCUCUUCCAAUUGCUUUCUUAUAUCCUCUUAUAUAUUUUUAAGCCCCUUUCAUGAAAUUACUACCCCUUUUCAGCAUUUUUACACUGAGGGUUGAUUUCCUUUCUCUGGAAGUAAUUUUUAGUUCAAUCUUAGGUCCACUGACAUUUCUCUUUUUCUCUCACGCAGUUUUCAAUGGGCUGCUGUUGACCUCAAAGAACACUUCUGUCAUGAGUAUGAGAUAUAGUUCACUGGUCUAUUUAGUCUUCUAAUUUUACAUGUAAACUUUGGACCUUCUCUACUACAAGAGUUUUGCAUAGUUUUAUUUGUUCUUCUUGUUAUUCUGAUUUUUUUUUAACAGGCCAUGUUGGGAGAUUUGAAUUUACACCACUGUCUUUGCUUUGGCUUCCUCAGACUCCCACAAUUUUAAGUGGUGGAUUUUAACAUAUUAUCAUCAACUUAAUUAAAAGUUACUUUGAAAAUAAUGUGUAUUUUUUAAGCAAAAAAUCCCACAAAGCUGCAUAAAUGCUCCUCAGCAGGAGACAUGUUGAAGUCUUCAGGCCUCUGCUCAAGGAGAAACUUCUUUCGAAAUACCUGAAUCACCCACUACUAAGCAUCUUUGAGACAUUAAGGACAUGAGACAGUUGCAAGGGUAUUACAAGUGGGUAAAUGGAGUUUUCUCAAAUGAAAGAUAGAUUAGGUAAGAUAAUUAUGGCGAUUUUGAUUUUGAGCCUAAAAUAGUGUUAUAGAAUGGCUAUUAAAAAGAUAACAUGUGAAGCACUGGUUGAACAUCAGUUUAUUGUGAAGAAGUACUAUCAGGUUAUCUAGACUUUUUUUUGACAGGAUAGCUAGAUUUGGGGAUUGUUGUAAAUAUAAAUGUAUCUGGAUGUGUGGUUACAUUUGACAAAUCUUUUAUUAAACCCCUUCGGACAGAAUGGGAAAAUGGAGGCUGUAUGUUUCUUACUGUUUCCUAUAAGCUAUUAGACUUAUAUUUGUGACAGAUACUCAUUCCUUCCUACAAAAGAGGUCUAUCAACACAUUCUUUUUCACUACUGUUGUCCUAACCAAUUUUCCCUUAUCUGAUCCUUGUUUGUUUUUACCCCAGCUUCUGACCUGUUCCAUUUUCCCAUUUAUGACUUUGCCUUGAGCCUUGGCAUUCAUUACAAUUUUCUGGCUAGCAGUGACAUCUGGCUAGAAUUCACAUUCUCUUGGAUUACUUCUAGAAAAGGGGUGACUAUAAAUUGAAGAUGAUAAAGCUAUAAAGUAAAACAAAGGGAUAAAAGAAUGACAGAGUCCAUAUUCAGAUUUUGAAAACCAUUUUAAUGGCAUCAUAUGUAAGUUAAACUAAGUGAAUUUCAUAAGAUUUCUUCAUAUAUGUUCCUCUUUUCCCUUAAGUAUGUCACAAUGUUUAAGAAUUACUGACUUCCCAAAUUCUGAAAUUUCUUGUUGUUCUGAAGAAACAGCAGAUGGCACUGCUAACUUGAAGAACCAAUUUCUAGAUGCAUUAAAAAUUGGAGACAUGACUUCUUAAAACUAUUAACAGACACUAUUGUUUUCAGCUUACAUGUGUAUUGUAGAAUGGGAAAAUAAAGUUAAGCAGAUGGAAGAAAUUUUAAAUCCAUAAUUACAGAUAAAAUCACUAUGAACAUUUUAGUGCACAGCCGAGUUUUCUAUUCACAUGUUUAACAAAAAUGGAAUAUAUCUUGCAAGAGCUUUGUAACCAGGUUUUUCAAAUGAACCACGUAUUAUAAACAAAUUGCCUUGUCAUAUUUCAAAAACCGGUUUUUUAUGGCUGUAAAAGGAUAUCAUAAUUUAGUUAACCAAUUACAUGUUGUCUGAAAUUUGGAUUAUUUCCAGUUUCCUGUUCUCAUAAAUAACACUGUCAUGAACAUCCUAUUGCCUAAUUCCUUAAUUACAGGGUCACAUGCUUAAUUGUCUCCACAAGAUAAAUUCCUAAAAGUAGAAUUUUUGUUUUAAAAUAUAUCUCUAUUUUUUAAGUAUUAUUUUUAAAUUGGUCCCAGGACCAAUUUUUCCCUUUGAUUUACAUAUACUCUAUAUUAAAAUACAUUUGUUUCAAAGUAAGUAUAAACUAUAACUUUUAAAAAAUUCUGUCUGAUUAAAUAUUUUCAAACUUUUUAUAGGUUUAUGGCCUGCUUGAUUUUUGUGAAUUUCACAGAGUUCAUGUCUUUUAUCCCUUUUUAAAAAACAGAAUAAUUCAUGAUUUCUCUACUUAUUUUGUAAGGAUUCUUGAUAUAUUAAGGUUAUCAUCGCCAUUAAGGUUAUCCUAAAUAUCCCAGUACCGUUAACCCAAAAGUAAUGUAGGACAACAUUAUUUUACUUUAAAAAGAAUAUAUUUCUUAUUUUUAAAGUUUAUCGAAUUUUUCUUUGAGUGUUAUUUUAGGAUUAAUUUUAAUAAAUGUCCACAGGAGCUAUGAAAAGAGUUAGUCUAUACUGCAUUCUAUAGAAUUCAAAAUUUAUAGUUCUGGCAUAUUUCUCAUAUCCUCUACAUAAUGUUUAUUUCUUGACCACUUGGUUUUUCAUGGAAAAACAGUUAUGUUUCUUUUCAUUUUCUUUUUUUUGCUUUCUCAUUAUAUUAUUUGGUGCAUGAAAGCUCAUAAUCAACAUAUUGUGUAGAUUUUGCAUUUUGGUUCAAAAAAAAGCUCUUCACCCUAUUUCAGUUGCUUCUUUCUCUCGCUCUCUUUUUUUUUUUAAAUCUCAAAUUAUACUACUUAGUACGCUUCUUAAUUAAUGUAUCAAUUAGUACAUUAUUAAUAUAUCAAUCAAUAGAUACUUCUAAGUGGUUGAAGAGUUUGAUCUUUUCAGUAGCCUUAAACAUUGUAUUGAUAAUGUUUUCUAGGUGUUUUCAAUGUCUCCCUUCAAACUAGCCCUACCACAGAUUCAUGUCACCACACACAAUGGAUUAUAAGGGUCUGAAUUCCAUAAUAUAAAUGCUAUAAAGAAGGAUGUGAGUAUCUCUUAUGUACUCACUGCUUAGGGAACUGCUUAGUUGGAAUAGAAUAUUCCCAUUUAAAUUAAUGGCUUUUUAAAAAAUAAUAGUCAUUCACUUAAUGACAGGGUUUUCAGGAAUAAUUUAAAAUCUUUAAGCACAGGAUGGUGUAUUUCCUUAUCAAACAUCCACACAAGGUAGGUAUUAUUAUUAUUACAAUAUUUUACAGAUGAAGAAAGAAAGAGAUUAAAUUACUCCCCUCAGGUAAAGCACCAGGAUCCAAACCCACACUACAAAAAUAUCUGAGUUUGUGGUUUUAUUCCCACAACUAUGCCAGAGGGAGAAAAGCCUGUGAAUUUUUAUGUCCUUUGCUGAAUAGUCAAUUGGAAUUUUUUUCUUAUUUUAUAUAGUUUACAUAAGCUCUUUAUGUGCUAUAGUUAGUAAUCAAUUACGAUUUCAGUAACAAGUAUUUACCCUUAAUUUCUCUUCAGUAGAGAAAGGUUCUACCUCAUUCUUGAUGUCUAUGUGUGAAUCUAUUUGCAUAAAAUCCCUGGAUAUCUUGACCUUGUUAUCACUCUUUUCGAGGGAGAAAAAGCAUCAUGAUCCCAUCGAUGAGUUUGGGAGCAAACUUCCCUCCAGUGAGACAAGAAAAACAAGUUCUGUUCUGCUCUUUCAUGCUGUGAGUUUGAUAGGGGCAGGCCCCCCGUAUUUUGUAAAGGCUCUGGUUGGUCCAAGGCUAGCUGUGAGUGGAUGGGUAUAUCGACCUAAUUCAGCGACUUUAUACUAGCACACACCUGCCUAUCACUAUCCGGCAACACCCUCCAAGAUUAGCUUACUAAGAAAGGUGAUAUCUUGGUCUCUACUGACCGAUCUCUUUUAUUUUUCAAUAGGUUCAGAAAUGGGACAGAGUAGAGAGGUACGAUUUAUUGGACAAUUUGAAUUUCAAUAAUUUGUUGUUUUCUUAAUGAUUUUUUUAUAAUAUAAAAUAUUUUAAUUUGGGGGAGUAAAAUGUAUUGCUCUUUUUUUAUUCUUUAGGUUGCUUUUAUCCUUAGAAAAUCUUUACCCAUGCUAAGACCAUUCAGAUUUAUCUAUAUAUUCCAUCCAGCUAUUACAUAGUUUGGCUUUUUGUUAUUUAAAUUCAUGUGAAAUUAGCUUAUGUACAAAAGAUGGGAAGAUUUAUUUUCUAAAUAAUUAAGAAAACACCCUGGCAAGUUUUAAACUUUCUUUUUUAUUCACAAAAUUGCUAUCAUUUCAUAAUAUAACAUCUAUUUAUGUGUGAGUGUAUAUGUGUAUGUAUAUGUUAUGCAUGUGUGUGUGUAUAUAUAUAUGUGUGUAUAUACAUAUGUGUGUGGGUGUGUGUAUAUAUAUAUAUACAUAUGCGCACCUGUUUACCCACAUAUUAGUAUAUGUCAUGUCUCUGAACUGUCAAUUACAUACUCUUUUGAUUCUUUUACCAAAGUUCUAUUUGUCAAUUACCCUAACUACAUAUAUAUAUAUUUUUUUUUUUUCAUUAAAGUAUAGUUGACAAGCAGGGGUGCCUGGGUGGUUCAGUUGGUUAAGCGUCUGACUUUGGCUCAGGUCAUGAUCUCAUGAUUCGUGAGUUCGAGCCCCAUGUCAGGCUCUGUGCUGAUAGCUCAGAGCCUGGAGCCUACUUCAGAUUCUGUGUCUCCCUCUCUCUCUGCCCCUCCCCGGCUCAUGUUCUCUCUCUCUAAAAUAAACAUUAAAAAAUUAAAAAACAAAUAAAGUAUAGUUGCCAUGCAAUCCAUAUAUAUUUUUUAAUCAUGUAAGGAAAGUUCUGGUUUGCGUGAUCUGAUUAUGUGAAUACAUGAUAUAAUCCACAACAUAACAUAAAAUACUAUUUUCCAGCUAUAAAGUUUGCAAGCAAAUGUUUAAAUCGAUUUCCUACAACAGCUUUUAUUAUUUUAUAAUUAUAAUAUUUAAGCACUGCCCAUGUGUAUGAAGAGUCUGUGAGUCAGGCCAUAGACUGUAUUGCGGAUUGUGCUACCAGCUGGCCUACUGCAUGACAGAGAACGGUCACCACCAGUCACAAUUACAUCUGUUUGUGCCUCUAUUUGUUAGACAAUCUGGCACCAGUAACAGCUGAGAAGAAAGAUUUGCAAACAGCUUGUUUGAUUGAUGUGUCUAGAGUCAUCUCUAAAUCCAAAUGAAAUGUUAAGGGGUAUCAAGAAAUCGUAAAUCAGGCAUAUCUCUCUUUGAGCCAUGAGAAGGUUUUGCGAACGCUUUUAUGGCACCCAUGUGUGAGAGCUAUGAUUGGCUGAUAUUCAAAAAGAGAAAUCGGACCUGCUUGUUCCACACAAUUAAUUAGGUCACAUUUUUAAAGAGUUUUUAUUUAUUAAUUUUGAGGUGAGGGGAGAGGCAGAGAGAAUACCAAGCAGGCUUGGUAUUCGAGCUCAGUGCAGGGCUCAAUCUCAUGAAGCCCUGAGAUCACAAGCCCUGAAAUCAAGAGGAGGAUGUUUAACCGACUGAGCCACCCAGUGCACCCACCGGGGGCACCCUGUGCCCCUAAUUAGGUCACAUUUUUAACUUUAUUGAGCUGUGAGGUGUUCCACAGGGCCUAGCACUUAAGUCAUGAUCAUAGAAACUGUUGGAGGAGGGGUUUCAACCAGGUAAGAGGAAUACAGCAUCAACUCAGGAUGCAGAAGGUGGUUGAUUCCAAGGAGUAUGUUGGGAAAGCAGAUAACCUGUGACCGAGGUUACAUGUUCUGGGGUAGCCAGACAUCUAUCAGGACAGGCAUGUACAACCAGGGUAGCUGAGCUCUAACCAGCAGGACACAACCUUGGGGGAGAUGCCAGCACUGAACCUUCACGGGCUAUGACAAGAAGUUUUCACAUUUGGUAUCUGUGAAAACUCUAAAUGCCCAGGAGAGAGUGCAAAAGGACCUUUUUAUGAGGUAAAACUUAAAAAAAAAAAUCCUUAUCUGUUGUAUUAGAUGCUACUGAUUAAUACCACCUCUGCCUAACUGAAGGGGACAAGUAAUUACUGGAAGAAGAUCAUGAAUCUCACAGAAUCCACAUGAAGCCUAGAGGAUCAAACUUGAAAAAUGGGUAAAAACCAAGGGAAGUUAGGCGGGAGGCACUGUGUCAAAGCAAGGGCCCGGGAGACGUCGGGCUCUGGUGACACGUUGGCCCUCGCACUUCUGUCCUGAACUCUGUGGCUGCCAUGUGCCAUGACAGUGAAUAAGUUCUAAGGUAUCCUUGGCUUUCGUUUUAUUCUUAGAACUUAAAUUCCUGGUUAGGAGCAUCUGAUUGGCCGAUGCUGUUCAUGUGCCCGCCUGGUUUGGAAGCAAGGGGGGAGAAUCUGAAACCUUAGGCUUCUUUAGUGUGAGGAGUGCCUUGACUCCUUAGAGAAUCCCUGAGAGUAGGAAGGGAGAAAGUCUGGGUGUUGGGUAGGUAGCAGGGGGAAAAAUGGAGAAGAAAAAAAAAGAGAAAGAAAAAGAAAACAGGCGCACACGUGCACGCGCGCACACACACGUAUCAGCAAUGAAGUUCUAUACCUGAAAUUUUUAAAACAUUCUGAAUAUUUGUUACUUAGACAAUAAAAAAAUUUCUUUUUUCCACAAUAAUUUGUUUUGAAAAGGAUAUUUCUUAAGGUCUGCUUUUUUUUUCUACUUUUGGUGAAAGAAAUAUCUUCUCUUUGUUCAUUCUUUUGAUAAGCGCCUGGUAUACCUCCCAGAAACAGGGUGCUUGGACCCUCCUUGAUUUCCCCAAGUAAGGCUGAUCUCUAGCUCCUGGAUCCAGUAGUCCAAAUUGAGUGCAGAGGGAUGUGGGGUAGUUAAGUCCUGGUAGGUAAAUCUCAUUUCUGGAGAAUUUCUCAUCUGUGUCUCUCAAAAUACCUCAUCCUGUGUGGCUGGAUGUCACGGCAUAAGCUGUGGAAACCCACGCAGAAGCUGUGCCACCUCCAGGAGACUAUUCCCCACCUCUGCCCAUGCCUAUUUCAGCCCUCUGAACAGUGAGCGGCCUAGACCCUGACCAAAGCUUUCUAAAGUCACCACUGUUAGCAGCCAGUGACUUGAUGAAGACUUCCAAGGCUCAGAACUCUCGGGACAGUUACUCGUGAGCCCUACUGGACUCCCCUACAGCACUUACACCAUCAAAGUCUGGUAAGCAGCAGCUGGCAAAGGCCUUCCAGGAAGAGGAUUUUCCUAUGUUCCCAUGGUCCAUUUCCAACUCAAGCUACAGACCAUAUAAAAUAAUGUAUGUUUAGAAUUCUUAAUUUUUGGAAGGCUCUACUUUCUAAGGCAAAUGAUUUGCAAGUCAAUCUUGAUUAAUCUUCUUUAAACAAGUCUCAUGUGCCUUAUAAUUAGAAAUUCUAGCAUUUGGAUGGUACCCUUCCCUAGUUUCUUAUAUGAAUGUAGUUGUUUCUCCAUUCUUGGCUGAUUCCCCUAGUUACUCGGGAGGGAAAUGCUGGACAUCUGCUGUCAAGUAGCCAACUUGUCCAACAGAUGGCAACGUGAUCUACAAUUGUUCUUGUUAUAUUUUAUUUCACCUCCUCCUUUGAAUUCCUGUCUCCUUACUUUCUUUUGGCAUUGACAGAAAGGCAGGAGGCAGAAAUGAAUUGGGCAAGAAGGGAAAUAGCACAUUUCUCUCAUAUCCCCACCUCUUCGAGAGGCUGCUUCCUGUGAGCUUUGCUUCCUGCCCUCACAUCUACCUAGUUAACAACUGUUCAGCUCAAAUGCUACCCUCUCUGGGGAGUCAUCUUAGACUGCCCUCAACAUUGCCGGAGCCCCCAUAAGUGCCCAGAGUGCUCCCUUAGAGUGCUCUAAACAUGCCUCUCUAGCACUUAUCCAUGCUAUCCUAAUUGUUGAUGUAUUCGCUCAUCUCCCUACCCAGACUGUGAGCUCCCAGAUAGAGAUGGACUCGUCACUGUACUCCCAGGGUCAAGUUCAGUUAGUAAAAGGAAUAAACAGGUUUGGGAAGGAGACAAAAGAGUCAAGAAGGAGCGUUUUCCUGAAACCUCUAGAUUGUUCUUAAAUUGGUACCACUGAAGUUCUCCCGUGCUUUUGUUCGACCAAUUUGAGAAGACAAAUGUGAAGAAUAAAGAAAGAGCUGGAUUACUGGAGCUGAUAACUAUUUUUCACUUAUGCCCUAUUAAAAACAUAGUGCGUGUGUUGAGUUAAUUUAUUGAUUGUAAAUAGUUGUUAAUAGCAAAUAGCAAUACAACAUAGCUUUUGAUAAUAGGCUCCACAUAAUCCCAGCUCUUUACAAUACAUGCACUAUUCUGCACUGGUAGAAAAAUAAGUUGUUCACUGUGAAAAUGCCACCCAUUAGUGCCACUGCUCCCAAACGAUAUACAAUCUUGUGUUUUAUGGCUCUCAGCUGCACACUGCCUGGAAGAUGCUUUAGACAUGAGCCAACUUUUUACAUCUAACAAAUGCCCAGUAAAAGACACUUAGAAUUCCAGUUGGACUAAACUUGCCCCUUCUCCAGAGGGCACAUAAAUGAAUAAAUACAAGGAAAUCCCCUCCCAUUGCACACACACAUAUGCACGCACGCAAUCCUCAGAGCAGCUGUGUUAUAUUAUAAGUUGGAGGCCUUUUGUUAGUUCAGAUGUUUCAGGUCUGCAAAGGCACUCUGGAGAAGAAAUAAAUAUUAUGAGUAAGUCUCGUUUCCAUGCUUGUAGUGGGGAAACACUUACUAGCACCGUUUACUACAGUCUUAAACUGAAACAAUCUCAUAAAAGAAUACCAGCAUUACUCACUCAGCACAUGACUGCUAACACAAGAUGGUGUCUGUUUUAUUCCCUAAAUAUUCAAAACAUGAUUUCAUUCAGACUCUUUCCCAGAUGGACUUCCUUUUCAGUUAAACUAAUCGGAAUAAUCAUGGAUUGUGUGCUUGCUAAAUCUAUUUUUUUUUCCUUAAACCAUUCAACUCUCUUUUAUUUUACUAAGUAGUGCAUAUAAAUAAAAUUUCACAAAUGAGAGAGCUUGGAUAUUAGCAUUAACUUAUCAAAGGAAAGGCAGGUUGGAGCUUGGUGGGAGCUCAACCUGGAAUCCAGGUCAUUCCAUGUGAGGAUUUGGUCUUCUACUGGGAAAGCUCGGCGUCUGAAGUUGACAAAUUUGGUAAGAAGAAGACCGUGUACUGGAGAGUGAUGUAAAUGUGGAUUUAGUAAUUUACGAGGAGAAAGGACUCUCGAAAUAACAAAAACACUACAAGUCUGCACAAUCAGUGCAUUCUCUUAUUAUUAUCAAAGUAUGUGUGAAGCCAAAGUAUAAUAAAAUUUUUUCGUGAACAUACAGUCAGAACAAGGGGACACGGAGAAAUUUAUUUUUAAUGGCUCUGAGAGCCUGAUACGUCCGUCUCUCUAUGAAGCCUUGUCAAAGGGAUUAGAAACACUUUGCCAUGCUUCUCCCAAAGCCUGGUACAUUCUCUCCCCAUUCUUCACUAACUUUUACUAAUCCAUCUAAUCUUAGCUUCAUUAUCACUUUCUUAGAGACACCUUUUUUGGUCUUCUUAUCUGAGAAAGGGUCCCCACUGAACACUCCAGAGCACUCUGUAAUUUCCCUUUAUAGCACUUACCUCACUUACUCAUCUGUUGCUGUAAGAUCUGUCUGCCUCUAGACUGUAAACUCUAGGGGAGCAGGAACCACGUUUGUUUUGAGUCCCACUAGCUCCUCAGGGCCAACCACAGUGCCUGGCACCUCUGAAAGCAUUCAGGACCUACUUGAUAAAUGAACUAAUGAAAGCGCAUCCAGGAGCUGGGCAGAGUAAUGGCGAAGGGCACAGGUGCUAUAUUCAGGCUUCCUUGUUUGAAAUCCUGCCUCUGCCUCUCAGUGACUGUGUGAGCUUAAACAAGUUACAAAAUCGGAUUCUUUAUAAAAUGAGGACAUUGACAGCUCCUGCCUCCUAGCAUUCUAAUAAGGAUUAAAUAAAUUGAUACAAAACACCUGGAACAGUGACCGGCACAAAGUGAACACUCAAGCAGAGUCAGUUCUUCAUAUUAUCUUGUAAAGGACAACUCUAAGAAAAAUGUUAAGCCUGACUGCUAAAACUCAGUUUCCUUGGGAUGUUCCUGGGAUGGGUAUGAUUAAUACUAACCUCUGAAGAUAUUUAUUCAUGUUUUCCAUGGUUUGGCAGUACUAUAUUUCUGAUUAAGAAUACUUCAGGGGCACCUGGGUGGCUCAGUUGGUUGAGCAUCUGACUUCAGCUCAUGUCAUGACCUCAUGGUUUGUGAGUUCGAGCCCCACAUUGGGCUCACUGCUGUCAACCUAGUGCAAAGCCCACUUUGGGCCCUCUGUCCCCCUUUCUCUGCCCCUUCCCUGGUUGUGCUCUCCCAAAAAUAGAUACAUAUUUUUUUUUAAAAAAGAAUACUUCAAUUAAAUAGGUGAAUAUAUUAAAACAGAUUAUACCCAAGCCCUUCCAGCCUGGAACCCACUUUAUCUUCUUUGCAUGAUGUUUUGUGUCUAUCUACUGAUCCAUCAUGCAUGAACAUCAGAGCUUAACUCGGACGGCAGCUGUAUUAUCCUUAUCUCCAAGUUCUUGGGACAGCCAUCUCUAUAACAACGAACUACGGACAACAAUAUUCAAGGUGGAUAUUUUAUAACACUUAGAAAGUAAAAAAAGAACAUUAUAAAUAUAUACAAUUCCAUAACAACAGAGGUAAUCAUUGUAUUUGUCUUAUUUGGUUUUAAAGGCUUUACUGCUAAAUACCAUGGGGCAAAGUACCAUAUUUAACAAUUACAUAUUACAAUGUUGUCAGACAAAACUUGCAUGGUUGUUAGAAUCUUGGUCCCUGGCUCAUUUGGUGAACAUGUAUUUACUGAGUACCUAAUAUGUGCCAGCCAUUACACUAGAGGUGGUCUAUAACACUUUGGGUUUGAACUGAAGAAUGAUACAAAUAGGACUCCAUUAUUUGAUGAAUUGGUAUUUCAGUUAUCAAACACUAAAUAAACGUUUAAUAUAUUACUGUCUGCUAUUUUCAAUGAUAAAAUGCUGAUAAUGAUAAUGUGUGAAAAUGUACUGCUAAAACAACUAAUGUGGGGGCAACCACCUUUUCCUCCCACCUACAUACACAUGAAGUAUGUCCUUUGAUCAUUCGCUGUAGGUGAUACUCAAAGAGCCUAUUUUCAUACACAGUUGAGCAUUAUUUACUUGAAAUUAAAACACAUCUAUGUCAAAACACACCUCUUCCUUACUUUUAAUGUCACUAUAGUAAACCCCAAAUCAGGCCUUUCUGAUGUGCCUUUCUAUAUCUGAGCCUUGAUUUGUCCAUCUUCUCUCUGUUCCAUCUUCUUACUCCCUCAUAUAGGACAUCUAGUGUUUUUAGUCCAUAAGGUAACACUUUACCUGUGUCCCCGUGAAUAUCCCAAAGAUUAAACUAAGAUACUGAAUCUCAGAAUUGGGCCAAACUCAAAGAUCUUACACAAUUACUCAUUUGUUGCUGAAUUUCUCCUUGCAAAAAAAGAAAGAGAAAAAAAGAAAAAAAAAAAACCUAAUGAAAGAAAUUGAAGAAGACACAAAUAAAUGGAAAAUUUUAUAUUCAUGUAUUAGAAGAAUCGGUACUGUUAAAAUGUCCAUACGACCCAAAGUGAUCUGUAGAUUCAGUGCAAUCUCCAUCAAAUUCCAAUGGCAUUUUUCACAAAAACAGAAGACACAAUCCUAAAAUUUGUAUGGAACCACAGAAGACCCCCAAAAGCUAAAGCAUUCUUGAGCAAGAAGAGAAAAUGGCAGACAUCACAUUUCCUGUUUUUAAACUACACUACAAAGCUACAGUAAUCAAACCAGUAUGGUAAUGACAUAAAAAUAAACACAGAGAUCAAUGAAACUGAAUAGAGCACUCAGAAAUAAAUCCAUGCAUAUGAGUUCAACAAAUUUCCCAUAAAGGCACCAAGAAUACGCAAUGGGGAAAAGACAGUUACUUCAAUAAAUGUUGUUGGGAAAACUGGAUAUCCAUAUGAAAAGAAUGAAACUGGACCCCUAUCUUACACCAUACACAAAAAUCAACUCAGAAUGGAUUAAAAACAUAAACAUAAGACCUGAAACUGUAAAACUCCGAAAAGAGAACAUAGUGGAAUAGCUCUUUGACAUCAGUCUUGGCAAAGAUGGUUUGGAUUUGACACCAAAACCAAAGGCAACAAAGGUAAAAAUAAACAAGUGGGACUACAUUCAAUUAAAAAGCUUCUGCACAGCAAAGGAAACCAUCAACAAAAUGAAACAGCAAUCUAUGUGACAGGAGAAAAUAUCUGCAAAUCAUACAGCUGAUUAGGGAUUAAUAUCCCAACUAUAUGGAGAACUUCUACAACUUAAUAGCAAAAACUAAGAAACCAUCCAAUUACAAAAUGGGCCGAGGGCUGAAUAUCAUUUUUCCAAAGAAGACAUACAAAUGGCCAACAGGUACGUAAAAAGGUACUCAAUAUCACAAAGCAUCAGGGACAUGCAAGUCAAAGCCACAAUGAGACACCAUCGCAAACCUAUUAGAAUGGCUAUCAUCAAAAAGACAAGAGGUGACAAGUGUUGGCAAGGAUGUGGAGAAAAGGAAAUGCCUGAAUGCUUUCGGUGGGAACACAAAUUGGUGCAGCCACUAUGAAAAACAUUACGGAAGCUCCUUAAGAAAUUCGAAACAGAACUACCAUACAUUCCAGCAAUUCUACUUCACGGUAUUUAUUCAAAGGAAACAAAAUCAUUAUCUCAAAGAGACAUCUGAACUCCCAUAUUCAUUGCAGCAUUACUCACAAUACCCAAGAUAAGAAAACAACCUAAGUGGGGUGCCUGGGUGGCUCAGUCGGUUAAGCAUCUGACUCUAGGUCUUGACUCAGGUCAUGGUCUCAGGGUUUGUGGGUUCAAGCCCUGUGUUGUGCUCUGCACUGACAGUGUGGAGCCUACUUGGGAUUCUCUCUCUCCCUCUCUCUUCCCCUCCCCCACGCAUGCACACUCUCACUCUUUCUCUCUCAAAUAAAUAAACUUAAAAAAAACCUUAAGUGUCCAUUAAUGGAUGGAUGGAUAAAGAAAAGGUGGUAUAUACAUACAAUGGGAUAUUAUUCAGUCUAAAAAAAGAAGGAAAUCCAUUUGUGACAACAUGGAGGAACCUGGAAUGUGUUAUGCUAAAUGAGAUAAGCCAUACAUUAUGGUAUGGUAUAGUUUAUAAGCAGAAUCUAAAAGAAAACAGUUAAGCUCAUAGAAAGUAAGAGCAGAAUAGUAGUUGCCAGGAACUGCAGCGGGGAGGAAACGAGGAGAAGUUUAUAAAAGGGAACAAAUUGCAGUUAUAAGCUGAAUGAGUUCUGAGAACCUAAUGUAUGUCAUGGUGACUAUAGUUAAUAAUACUGUAUUGUAUACUUGAAAUUUACUAAGACCAUAGAUCUUAAACAUUCUCACCAAAAAUAAAAUUUAAAAAAGGUAACUAUGUGAGGUAACGAAUGCGUUGAUUGUAGGAAUCAUUUCACAAUACAUACAUAUAUCAAAUCAUCCAAGUUGUAGAGUUUAAACACCUUAUAAAUUUGCCAAAGAAACCUUAAUAAAGCUGGGGGUAGGGUGCCUGGGUGGCUCAGUCGGUUGAGCAUCUGACUUCGGCUCAGGUCAUGAUCUCGCAGUUGAUGGGUUCAAGCCCCACAUCAGGCUCUGUGCUGACAGCUCAGAGCCUGGAGUUUACUUCAAAUUCUGUGUCUUCCUCUCUCUCUGCCCCUCCCACACUCAUGCUCUCUCUCUAUCUCUCUCUCUCUCAGAAAUAAACAUUAAAAAAUAAAUAAAUAAUAGAUAAAUCUGGGGAAAACUUAACCAUUUCCACUUAAAUUACCAAUUGUAGAGAGGUAUGUUAAACUCUUCCAUAGAGGCUAUAGAUUUGCCAAUUUCUCAUAGCAAUUCUAUAAAUUUUUCUUUCAUGUUUAUUGGGGCUAUAUAAUUAGAUGCAUAAAGCUAUAGUACAUGACAGUGCGUCAACAAGGAACAGAUACUAACAAAACACAAUGUACAAAUAUAAAGCAUGUUUACUAUUACCCUCCCAUUCGUGUGCUCAUGGGAGACAUCAGUAAUCAAUUAUGGCACCCUAGUCUGCUCUGACAUGGCUCCAGAACGUUUUAGCGCACCAUUCUAUGCAAUCAUCUUAGUUGUCACUCAAACUAAUUCCUUUUGCCUUUCCCUGGCCUACCAAUUUAUCGCCCUAAAGGCUGGAAUAUUCUAAAAAGGUGAGAUUUCAGAUCAAUGGGAUGAAGAGAAUAUUCUUCAAUAAAUAGAGGUGGAACAACUUAUGCUUUAAGAAAUAAUGUCAUCUUUCUACUUUCCAUGUAAAGUAAGAAUAAUUCUGGACUUAUCAAAAACUUCAAUAUAAAAAUUAUGAGCUCCUGAACAGUCUAAAAGAGAACAUGGGUGAAAAUGAUCUUUUCUGGGGGUUCAGAGAGUUUUAUGACCACAAAACAGAGAGAGGAUAUAAGAAAAGAGUCUGAUAGGGGCGCCUGGGUGGCUCAGUCGGUUGAGCGUCCGACUUCAGCCAGGUCACGAUCUCGCGGUCCGUGAGUUCGAGCCCUGUGUCAGGCUCUGGGCUGAUGGCUCAGAGCCUGGAGCCUGCUUCCGAUUCUGUGUCUCCCUCUCUCUCUGCCCCUUCCCCGUUCAUGCUCUGUCUCUCUCUGUCUCAAAAAUAAAUAAACAUUAAAAAAAAAUUAAAAAAAAAAAAGAAAAGAGUUUGAUAGAUUAGGUUUCAUAAAAAUUAAAAUCUUUUUUUCAGUCAUAAAAAAUAAACUGAAAAAAAUAAGGGAAAGUUUAGCAGUGUACAUAAUAAGGUUCUUUUUUUAAUGUUUGUUUGUUUGUUUAGAGAACACGAGGAGGGAAGGAGCAGAGAGAGGGAGAGAGAGAAUCCUAAGCAGGCUUCGUGCUGUCAACGCUGAGCCUAAUACGGGGCUCAAACUCACAACCGUGAGAUCAUGACCUGCACCGGAAUCAAGAGGCGGAUGCUAAGCCCACUGAGCCACCCAGGCGCCCCAUAUAACAAAGUUCUUAAUGUAUAAAUAUCUUCUAAAUUAAAUAAGAAACAAACAUCCUAGAGGAAAAAUAAACCAAGAACAACGUAAUAAUUUACAAGAGACAAAGUAUUAAUGGCAAACACGUAUAUUGCAAAAGGAUACACUUCAUACUAACAACAAAAAAACACGAGACAUCUUUUUCGCCCAUCAAAUUACCAUAAUGGGUUCAAAAAUGAGAAUGCUGUGACAGAGUGUGCAUAGGCAAAAACAUCUGGAAGGAAAUUUGAAUAUACAUACCAAGGGCCUCAUUAAUAUUCACACACUUUGACUCAAUAAUUCCAUUUCUUUAAUGAUUGGAAGGCCAUAAUUACAGCAUCACAUGAAACAGAAGGGAUAAGAUGCUGACAUUUUAUUCCUAAUAGUUAGAAAUCAGAACUACCUACAACAGGAGAAUGGCUACACAGAUAAUAGUGUAUUUGUACAUUAAAAUAAAAUCUGUAAUAAUCAAUGAUGGUAGAAAUGUACACGAAACCAUGUGCAGUGUGCGUCAUAUUUUAUUUAACAUAUUUUCUGUACAUAAUAUGAUAGAAGUUAGGACAUAAAUGUACAAACAUGGUAAUAAUGUUUGUUUUCUAAAGUCUGGGCAUGUCUGUGAAUUGACUGUUAUUUUUAUUCUCAAUAUCUUAUGGUUGUUUUCUUCUUAUUUUUUACAGUGCAUGGCUAAAAUCAGCAAGAGAUUUUUAAAAAGAAAAUGUCGGAGGACAAAGAGUGCCUAAAAUCACAUCAGUUUAUUGCAAUCUUCAAAUAUUUCUUGAUCCAGAGACGUACAAUCAGCAACCAACUUAUUCGACUAUUGCCAAAGAAACAUCUCCAAAUAGUACUUUGCUCAUGAAGAUAGAAAACCACAGAAAAUGUGCAUGCGCUUGAGUAUGUGUUGUAAUAAUGCAUAAAGGCCUGUGUAAAUCACAGCUCAAAAUCUCUAGGACUUUCCCUAGUCAGCACAGUUCAGCCCGGCCCCUGCCCUGCACUAACCUAAAGCAACCCUAAGUCUGGUCCGCAGGCCACACACCCAGGCUUUGAGAAAGAGCCAGCAGCACUGCUGGGUUGCCUACCCUAAUCCUGUGAUUACCAGAACAUUACAAAAAUAAGACUUAUCUGGGGGUUUACAUUUUUAUUAAAUUAAGUCUCCCGAGAGCAUCAUGGCUAUGCAUAAAC
This 28682-nucleotide long non-coding RNA is filed under the name Lynx pardinus (Iberian lynx). The stretch from base 4231 to 4315 matches the Rfam family "tRNA". The record is from RNAcentral. Lineage: Eukaryota; Metazoa; Chordata; Mammalia; Carnivora; Felidae.